RNAcentral lists this non-coding RNA (18 nucleotides) under Arabidopsis thaliana (thale cress). Lineage: Eukaryota; Viridiplantae; Streptophyta; Magnoliopsida; Brassicales; Brassicaceae. RNAcentral also lists the same sequence under 2 other names. The record is from RNAcentral.
UCCCUGCCCUUUGUACAC